RNAcentral lists this ribosomal RNA (448 nucleotides) under Streptococcus sp. oral taxon 064. RNAcentral describes it as "bacterial SSU rRNA". It matches the Rfam family "Bacterial small subunit ribosomal RNA", at positions 28 to 464 of the family's 1533-position model. Lineage: Bacteria; Bacillati; Bacillota; Bacilli; Lactobacillales; Streptococcaceae. The record is from RNAcentral.
GACGAACGCUGGCGGCGUGCCUAAUACAUGCAAGUAGAACGCUGAAGAGAGGAGCUUGCUCUUCUUGGAUGAGUUGCGAACGGGUGAGUAACGCGUAGGUAACCUGCCUGGUAGCGGGGGAUAACUAUUGGAAACGAUAGCUUACCGCAUAAUAGUAGAUGUUGCAUGACAUUUACUUAAAAGGUGCAAUUGCAUCACUACCAGAUGGACCUACGUUGUAUUAGCUAGUUGGUGAGGUAACGGCUCACCAAGGCGACGAUACAUAGCCGACCUGAGAGGGUGAUCGGCCACACUGGGACUGAGACACGGCCCAGACUCCUACGGGAGGCAGCAGUAGGGAAUCUUCGGCAAUGGACGGAAGUCUGACCGAGCAACGCCGCGUGAGUGAAGAAGGUUUUCGGAUCGUAAAGCUCUGUUGUAAGAGAAGAACGAGUGUGAGAGUGGAAAG